GACGAACGCUGGCGGCGUGCCUAAUACAUGCAAGUAGAACGCUGAAGCGAGGAGCUUGCUCUUCUUGGAUGAGUUGCGAACGGGUGAGUAACGCGUAGGUAACCUGCCUUGUAGCGGGGGAUAACUAUUGGAAACGAUAGCUAAUACCGCAUAACAAUGGAUGACACAUGUCAUUUAUUUGAAAGGGGCAAUUGCUCCACUACAAGAUGGACCUGCGUUGUAUUAGCUAGUAGGUGAGGUAACGGCUCACCUAGGCGACGAUACAUAGCCGACCUGAGAGGGUGAUCGGCCACACUGGGACUGAGACACGGUCCAGACUCCUACGGGAGGCAGCAGUAGGGAAUCUUCGGCAAUGGGGGCAACCCUGACCGAGCAACGCCGCGUGAGUGAAGAAGGUUUUCGGAUCGUAAAGCUCGGUUGUAAGUCAAGAACGAGUGUGAGAGUGGAAAGUUCACACUGUGACGGUAGCUUACCAGAAAGGGACGGCUAACUACGUG
Molecule: ribosomal RNA, 497 nt
Filed under: uncultured bacterium
Lineage: Bacteria
Description: partial 16S ribosomal RNA
Rfam family: Bacterial small subunit ribosomal RNA
Source: RNAcentral